GGAGAGUUGUCCGAGUUGGUCGAAGGGGCAUGACUGGAAAUCAUGUGUACUCGUAAGGGUACCUAGGGUUCGAAUCCCUAACUCUCCGCCA
This 91-nucleotide transfer RNA is filed under the name Clostridiaceae bacterium. RNAcentral's name for it is "tRNA-Ser". It matches the Rfam family "tRNA". From Rfam's summary of the family: Transfer RNA (tRNA) molecules are approximately 80 nucleotides in length. Their secondary structure includes four short double-helical elements and three loops (D, anti-codon, and T loops). The record is from RNAcentral. Lineage: Bacteria; Bacillati; Bacillota; Clostridia; Eubacteriales; Clostridiaceae.